CAGUCGCCGCGGUAAUACGAAGGGUGCAAGCGUUAAUCGGAAUUACUGGGCGUAAAGCGUGUGUAGGUGGUUGUUUAAGUCUGUCGUGAAAGCCCUGGGCUCAACCUGGGAAUUGCGAUGGAUACUGGGCGACUAGAGUGCGGUAGAGGAUAGUGGAAUUUCCGGUGUAGCAGUGAAAUGCGUAGAGGUCGGAAGGAACAUCUGUGGCGAAGGCGACUAUCUGGGCCAACGCUGACACUGAGGCACAAAAGCGUGGGGAGCAAACAGGAUUAGAUACCCGAGUAGUCCCUGUCUCUUAUAC
This 301-nucleotide ribosomal RNA is filed under the name uncultured bacterium. RNAcentral describes it as "partial 16S ribosomal RNA". It matches the Rfam family "Bacterial small subunit ribosomal RNA", at positions 509 to 807 of the family's 1533-position model. The record is from RNAcentral.